This is a small nucleolar RNA of Abrus precatorius (Indian licorice), 100 nucleotides long. RefSeq annotates it as small nucleolar RNA R30/Z108. NCBI's taxonomy places the organism in Eukaryota, Viridiplantae, Streptophyta, Magnoliopsida, Fabales, Fabaceae. The record is from RefSeq and is a predicted model, not a curated record. The transcript has a single exon.
AGUUUUCACGAUGAGGAUAUAAAAGCUCCCUCUUCUGAAGUUGAGUUGAGGAACUUCGCUGGCAGAAUCGAACCAUAAAAAUUUAGCCAUCACUGAGUGA